RNAcentral lists this non-coding RNA (98 nucleotides) under Numidum massiliense. Its description in RNAcentral is "yjdF RNA". It matches the Rfam family "azaaromatic riboswitch aptamer (yjdF RNA)", at positions 6 to 91 of the family's 101-position model. The record is from RNAcentral. Lineage: Bacteria; Bacillati; Bacillota; Bacilli; Caryophanales; Bacillaceae.
AGGAACGUAAAAACACGGUUCGGUUGGUAGUCCGAGCGCAUGAGGUCAUCCUUCAUGUCAGUAACCUUCCUCCCUUGGGGUCGUCCGUCGUUCCGGUA